RNAcentral lists this ribosomal RNA (254 nucleotides) under uncultured bacterium. RNAcentral describes it as "partial 16S ribosomal RNA". It matches the Rfam family "Bacterial small subunit ribosomal RNA", at positions 524 to 776 of the family's 1533-position model. The record is from RNAcentral.
UACGGGGGGGAGCAAGCGUUGUUCGGAUUUACUGGGCGUAAAGGGCGCGUAGGCGGCGUGACAAGUCACUUGUGAAAUCUCCGGGCUUAACUCGGAACGGUCAAGUGAUACUGUCGUGCUAGAGUACAGAAGGGGCAACUGGAAUUCUCGGUGUAGCGGUGAAAUGCGUAGAUAUCGAGAGGAACACCUGCGGCGAAGGCGGGUUGCUGGGCUGAUACUGACGCUGAGGCGCGAAAGCCAGGGGAGCGAACAGG